UACGGAGGGGGCUAGCGUUGCUCGGAAUCACUGGGCGUAAAGCGCACGUAGGCGGUCUCUUAAGUCGGUGGUGAAAUCCUGGAGCUCAACUCCAGAACUGCCUUCGAUACUGGCGAUCUUGAGUCCGGAAGAGGUGAGUGGAACUCCUAGUGUAGAGGUGGAAUUCGUAGAUAUUCGCAAGAACACCAGUGGCGAAGGCGGCUCACUGGCCCGAUACUGACGCUGAGGCACGAAAGCGUGGGGAGCAAACAGG
This 253-nucleotide ribosomal RNA is filed under the name uncultured bacterium. RNAcentral's name for it is "partial 16S ribosomal RNA". It matches the Rfam family "Bacterial small subunit ribosomal RNA", at positions 524 to 776 of the family's 1533-position model. The record is from RNAcentral.